UAUAGGAUAAUUUUUGUUGCAAGUUACUUUACAAGGGUACCUUAAUUUGUUAAUAAAAAUAAAAAUAAAAUCAAGGCCGGCUUCACUCCGCUGGUCUGAAUCACACAAAAGCCCACUAAAGGUUCACAAGGAGUGUAUCUGGCAUGAGGCAAAUCCUGCGUUCUGAUUGGUUGUUCCAACCCUCCCACGGAUCGCAGGCAGCCACCGUCCGAUCCUCCCGUAUCCAACGGCAGCGAAACCUCCCCUCUUUCUUGUGUUUCCUUCGAUCCACCCACGAGACGACCACUUUUCUUCCACCUGGGAGGAAGUGGAUCUCAGUCGGCCUCUUCCAGAUCCUCCAAACCUCCGCCCUCCCCAUCCAUGGCCGCUGCCACUGCACCAAGAAAAAGGCCGGCAGCCACCGCAACCUCGCCGUCCAUGGCCAUCUUCCUCUCUGCAUCCCGCAUCGGCCGCGUUAGCUGCCGCUGCAACCUCUUUAUCCACGACCAUCUUCCCCUUUGCAUCCCGCAACGGCCGUCUGCCUCGGCGACGUUAGCCUCGUCUCGCAGCCGAGGACGCCGCUGAAGGCGGACCUAGUGCUCGCGGCGCCGGUGCCGUUGCUGCGGAUGGUGCCCAUCUUGCUGCACGGAGCGACAAGGUCCCUCGUGGGCGUGCACAAGCUGGAUGGGCUGGGCGUGAUGACUAUGGGCGCGCUCAAGGUCCCGCUUCAGCCUCCACCUGACGACGCGCCUGGUGGAGUUCCACCGCAUCGGACCGGCGGGAUCCUUGGCAGGCUGUGAGCCGUAGUCCCACCAGGCCACCAGGCUCUAUGGAGUCUUCGUCGGUGGAGACAGAGUGCCUUCCAGGAGCAUGGUUCGAGGCAAGAUGGUUGCAAAAAUGGGGUCUCUCUCCGAUGACUUUGGCGAGCACGGCCGAAUUGGUGGCCAUAUAGACACUGGAAUUAACCAAAGUUAACAUAUGGCGAGCGCCCCGGCGCCUGAGGAGCUGUAGAUUAGCUUAGUUUUCUCCACGAGAUGUUCGUAAUUUUAAGUUUUUCGGGAUUUUUUGCUCCUGUAGAUGUGUAUUUUCCGGUUUGUUUAUGUAACCUUUGUUUAAUUUAAUGAAAUGAGCAUGUAUUUUUUCUGACAA
This is a long non-coding RNA of Triticum urartu, 1128 nucleotides long. RefSeq lists it as uncharacterized. The record is from RefSeq and is a predicted model, not a curated record. Lineage: Eukaryota; Viridiplantae; Streptophyta; Magnoliopsida; Poales; Poaceae.